GACGAACGCUGGCGGCGUGCUUAACACAUGCCAGUCGAACGGAAAGGCCUGCUUUCCCUUGUGGAUUGCGGGUACGCGAGUGGCGAACGGGUGAGUAACACGUGAGUCAUCUGCCCCCAACUUGGGUAUAAGCCUGGGAAACUGGGCCUAAUUCCCGAUAGGACUGCAGGGUGGUGCCGGGGGUGGAAGACGAUCUUCUAGUGGUUGGGGGUGAGCUCGCGGCUUAUCAGCUUGUUGGUGGGGUAAUGGCCUACCAAGGCGGCGACGGGUAGCCGGCCUGGGAGGGUGGACGGCCACAUUGGGACUGGGAUACGGCCCAGACUCCUACGGGAGGCAGCAGUGGGGAAUAUUGCACAAUGGGCGGGAGCCUGAUGCAGCGACGCCGCGUGGGGGAUGACGGCCUUCGGGUUGUAAGCUCCUUUCGACCGCGAGGAAGCCACCUGGUUGGAAGGGUGGUGACGGUAGUGGUAGAAGAAGCACCGGCUAACUACGUG
Molecule: ribosomal RNA, 494 nt
Filed under: uncultured bacterium
Lineage: Bacteria
Description: partial 16S ribosomal RNA
Rfam family: Bacterial small subunit ribosomal RNA
Source: RNAcentral